This 751-nucleotide long non-coding RNA is filed under the name Pan troglodytes (chimpanzee). RNAcentral describes it as "long non-coding RNA NONPTRT008292". The record is from RNAcentral. Lineage: Eukaryota; Metazoa; Chordata; Mammalia; Primates; Hominidae.
CCAGGCCCCGCCCCCGCCUACUGCGGCAGCAGCCUCGAUACAUGACGCGCAGGUCCGGUAGGUCCCGCCCCGCCCCUCCACAGACCACGCCCCCACGUACUGCGGCAGCGGCCCCGGUACAUGACGCUCAGGUCCGGGUGGCCGCGGCAGCGCGCGGCGCGCAGCUCGCACUCGUCGCGGUAGGUGGCGCCGUCUGAGCCGCAGACCUGCAGCCGCGCCGGGAGCCCCGAGCAGUCGGGCGCGCACUCGCAGCGCGGGCGGCCCCCCAGCAUGCGGCACGCCUUGCCCGGGCCGCACUCCACGCCGUCGCACGAAUCUGCGGACAGAGGACACGCGCGUGGGGCCGGGCGCGGGAGGGUCCCGGGCGUGGGGCCGCGCGAAGGCCUCGGGGCCCCUCCCUGCGCCCCUUCUGCAGGGUGGAGGCGGGGGCGCCGUCCCAGAUUCAGCAAACACUGUUUCCAGCAGAGGCGUUUCCAACAAUGUAUGACAGCGACAUCUGCGUGGGCCUGGAGGCGCUGCGCCCGAGGGGGCUUUCGUGCAGCCAGACACAUUUCCUACUCUGGAGCUGAUUCUGUCAUGGGGGCUUCCAGAUUUGUCAGGCGCCCUUGGCGAGCGCAGGGGAGCCCCUCUGUUCCUGCUUCUAGGGCAUCAGUGAACAUCUCUGUUGGCCAGAGGGACCCUGCGGGGUGCUGGGGUGCCACGGUGACCAAGGCAGACCCCAUCACACCCUCACCGAGCUCCUGGUUUGGAC